Molecule: ribosomal RNA, 711 nt
Filed under: Candidatus Kuenenia stuttgartensis
Lineage: Bacteria; Pseudomonadati; Planctomycetota; Candidatus Brocadiia; Candidatus Brocadiales; Candidatus Brocadiaceae
Description: bacterial SSU rRNA
Rfam family: Bacterial small subunit ribosomal RNA
Source: RNAcentral
UUCGCAAUGCCCGAAAGGGCUGCUAAAACCCGAUAGUUCCCAGUUGAUUAACUCGGCUGCGAUAAACGGUUGGCUCUUCGGAGCCUUCUGCUCGGAGAGGGGUCGAUGUUCCCAUCAGCUAGUUGGCGGGAUAACAGCCCACCAAGGCGAUGACGGGUAGCCGGACUGAGAGGUCGACCGGUCACACUGGCACUGAGACACUGGCCAGACUCCUACGGGAGGCUGCAGUCGAGAAUCUUCCGCAAUGGGCGCAAGCCUGACGGAGCGACGCCGCGUGCAGGAUGAAGGCCCUCGGGUUGUAAACUGCUGUCACAUGUUAAGAAUGGUCCCGCGUUAACAGCGUUGGACUUGACUAAGGCAUGAGAGGAAGCCACGGCUAACUUCGUGCCAGCAGCCGCGGUAAGACGAAGGUGGCAAGCGUUGCUCGGAAUUACUGGGCAUAAAGCGCGCGUAGGUGGCUUUGCAAGUCUGUGGUGAAAUCCCAUGGCUCAACCGUGGAACGGCCGCUGAUACUGCAGAGCUUGAGGACGGUAGGGGAGAGUGGAACUCCUGGUGUAGCGGUGAAAUGCGUGGAUAUCAGGAGGAACGCCGGUGGCGAAAGCGACUCUCUGGGCCGUUCCUGACACUGAGGUGCGAGAGCUAGGGGAGCAAACAGGAUUAGAUACCCUGGUAGUCCUAGCUGUAAACGAUGGGCACUAAGUAGAGGGGUUU